CUCCUUGGUGAUUAUAAAUAACUGAUCAAACCCAAGGGCUUGGGCCCGCCAAGGCUCCUUUAAAUUUCUGCCCUAUCAACUUUUCAUGGUAAGAAAAUGGCCCAACAUGGUUUCCACGGGUAACGGGGAAUUAAGGUUCCAAUUCGGAAAAGGAACCUGAAAAAAGGCUACCACAUCCAAAGAAAGGAACAGGGGCGCAAAUUACCCAAUCCCCAUACGGGGAGGUAGUGAAAAAAAAAAAUGAUACUGGGCCCUUUUGGGUCUUUAAAUUGGAAUGAAAACAAUUUAAAUCCCUUUACCAAGAAAAAUUGGAAGGGCAAGUCUGGGUGCCAGCAGCCCCCC
This 342-nucleotide ribosomal RNA is filed under the name uncultured fungus. RNAcentral's name for it is "partial 18S ribosomal RNA". It matches the Rfam family "Eukaryotic small subunit ribosomal RNA", at positions 239 to 586 of the family's 1831-position model. Lineage: Eukaryota; Fungi. The record is from RNAcentral.